GUCCCUGUGGCUCAGUUGGUAGAGCAUGGAGUUUGCAACGCCAGCAUGGGUUGUGGGUUCGAUUCCCACGGGGGGCC
This 77-nucleotide transfer RNA is filed under the name Salmo salar (Atlantic salmon). It matches the Rfam family "tRNA". From Rfam's summary of the family: Transfer RNA (tRNA) molecules are approximately 80 nucleotides in length. Their secondary structure includes four short double-helical elements and three loops (D, anti-codon, and T loops). Lineage: Eukaryota; Metazoa; Chordata; Actinopteri; Salmoniformes; Salmonidae. The record is from Rfam by way of RNAcentral.